This 557-nucleotide ribosomal RNA is filed under the name Devosia sp. HRRK121. RNAcentral describes it as "bacterial SSU rRNA". It matches the Rfam family "Bacterial small subunit ribosomal RNA", at positions 102 to 694 of the family's 1533-position model. The record is from RNAcentral. Lineage: Bacteria; Pseudomonadati; Pseudomonadota; Alphaproteobacteria; Hyphomicrobiales; Devosiaceae.
ACGGGUGAGUAACGCGUGGGAAUCUACCUAGUUCUACGGAACAACAGUUGGAAACGACUGCUAAUACCGUAUACGCCCUACGGGGGAAAGAUUUAUCGGAAUUAGAUGAGCCCGCGUAAGAUUAGCUAGUUGGUGGGGUAAUGGCCUACCAAGGCGACGAUCUUUAGCUGGUCUGAGAGGAUGAUCAGCCACACUGGGACUGAGACACGGCCCACACUCCUACGGGAGGCACCAGUGGGGAAUAUUGGACAAUGGGCGCAAGCCUGAUCCAGCCAUGCCGCGUGAGUGAUGAAGGCCUUAAGGUUGUAAAGCUCUUUCAGUGGGGAAGAUAAUGACGGUACCCACCGAAGAAGUACCGGCUAACUUCGUGCCAGCAGCCGCGGUAAUACCAAGGGGGCUAGCGUUGUUCGGAUUUACUGGGCGUAAAGCGCACGUAGGCGGAUUGGUCAGUUAGGGGUGAAAUCCUGGAGCUCAACUCCCGAACUGCCUUUAAUACUGCCAGUCUCGAGUCCGGAAGAGGUAAGUGGAACUCCUAGUGUAGAGGUGGAAUUCGUAGA